This 243-nucleotide ribosomal RNA is filed under the name uncultured bacterium. RNAcentral's name for it is "partial small subunit ribosomal RNA". It matches the Rfam family "Bacterial small subunit ribosomal RNA", at positions 26 to 285 of the family's 1533-position model. The record is from RNAcentral.
AGAAUCAACGCUGGCGGCGUGCCUAACACAUGCAAGUCGAACGAGAAAGUGGAGCAAUCCAUGAGUAAAGUGGCGCACGGGUGAGUAACACGUGACUAACCUACCCUUGAGUGGGGAAUAACCUAGGGAACCUGGGCUAAUACCGCAUAACACCUACGGGUCAAAGGAGCAAUUCGCUUAAGGAGGGGUCGCGGCAGAUUAGCUAGUUGGCGGGGUAGUGGCCCACCAAGGCAGUGAUCGGUA